AGAGUUUGAUCCUGGCUCAGGAUGAACGUUGGCGGUGUGCCUAAUACAUGCAAGUCGAACGGUGACGAUUUUGUAGCAGUACGAAUGAAAUCAUAGUGGCGAACGGGUGAGUAACGCGUUGGUGAUCUGCCUCGAAGUGUGGAAUAACUUCCCGAAAGGGUAUCUAAUACCGCAUAGUCUCUCAAGGUUUAGAAAAUUGAGAGUAAAGGAUUUAUUCGCUUCGAGAGGAGCCUGCGUCCCAUCAGCUAGUUGGUAGGGUAAUAGCCUACCAAGGCAAUGACGGGUAGGGGACCUGAGAGGGUGGCCCCCCACAAUGGAACUGAAACACGGUCCAUACACCUACGGGUGGCAGCAGUAGGGAAUAUUAGAAAUGGGCGAAAGCCUGAUAUAGCAACACCGCGUGUGCGAUGAAGGCCUUCGGGUUGUAAAGCACUUUUUGGAGGGAAUAGGAAGGAAGGUACCUCCAGAAUAAGUCUCGGCUAACUAUGUGCCAGCAGCCGCGGUAACAUGUAGGAGGCAAACGUUAUCUGGAUUCACUGGGCGUAAAGCGCGUGUAGGUGGUUCCGUAAGUAGGGCGUGAAAGCUCCCGGCUCAACUGGGAGAGGCCGUAGUAAACUGCAGAGCUAGAGGAUGGUAGAGGGAGGUGGAAUUCCAGGUGUAGUGGUGAAAUGCGCAGAUAUCUGGAGGAACACCAGUGGCGAAGGCGGCCUCCUGGACCAUUCUUGACACUCAGACGCGAAAGAUAGGGUAGCAAAUCGAAUUAGAGACUCCGGUAGUCUUAUCCCUAAACGAUGCGGUUUAGGCGUCGUCGGUUUAAUCACUGUCGGGGUACAAGAUAACGCGAUAAGUCUGCCUCCCGAGGACUACGGCCGCAAGGAUAAAACUCAAAGGAACAGACGGGUCGCCGCACAAGCAGCGGAGAGUGUGGUCUAAUUACAUGCUCCGCGAAGAACAUCCCUUGGGUCUGUCAUAACAGAGGGAGAGAAGUGAAAACGGAUCGGCCCCUCGUGGAGCUGUUACAGGUUCUGCAUGCCUCUCGUCAGCUCGUGUCGUGAGAUGUUCGGUUAAGUCCCCUAACGAGCGCAACCCGCCCUGUGUGUUACAAGUGUCACACAGUCCCCCCGGUAUUAAGUCGGAGGAAGGUGGGGAGGACGUCAAGUCAGCAUGACCUUUAUAUCCAGGGCUACACACACGCUACAAUGGUCAGAACAAUAGGUUGCCGAGCCGCAAGGCGGAGCCAAUCCUCCAAAUAUGGCCUCAGUUCAGAUUGCAGGCUGCAACUCGCCUUCACGAAGUCGGAGUUGCUAGUAACCGCACGUCAGCAUACUGCGGUGAAUACGUUCCCGGGGAUUGUACACAC
RNAcentral lists this ribosomal RNA (1360 nucleotides) under uncultured bacterium. RNAcentral's name for it is "bacterial SSU rRNA". It matches the Rfam family "Bacterial small subunit ribosomal RNA". The record is from RNAcentral.